UAGCUACAAAAUAACUUAUUUUGUAGCCACUUUGAGUUACGAUAAUUACUAUGUUAAUUUAUGAAAUUAUAGUAACUCCAUACUAAGUGAUUUACUACGUUAUGGUAAAUAUCUCCAUGUGUUAUAGUAACCCAACUAUUGUAAAUGUGUAUUAAUAUUAUCAUAAAUUAGUAUAUAAAACUAUCGUAAAUGGAGGUGGCUACAAAAUAUUUGUAGCUG
Molecule: microRNA precursor, 219 nt
Filed under: Sorghum bicolor (sorghum)
Lineage: Eukaryota; Viridiplantae; Streptophyta; Magnoliopsida; Poales; Poaceae
Description: MIR6217 microRNA precursor family
Rfam family: MIR6217 microRNA precursor family
Source: Rfam by way of RNAcentral